This 215-nucleotide ribosomal RNA is filed under the name uncultured Glomeromycotina. RNAcentral describes it as "partial small subunit ribosomal RNA". The stretch from base 46 to 215 matches the Rfam family "Eukaryotic small subunit ribosomal RNA", at positions 693 to 864 of the family's 1831-position model. The record is from RNAcentral. Lineage: Eukaryota; Fungi; Glomeromycota.
GGAUCAAGGGAUCGGUCAUGCCUUGGUAUGUACUGGUUUUAUUGGUUCUCACCUUCUAAAGAACCAUGAUGUCAUUCAUUUGAUGUUAUGGGGAAUUAGGACUGUUACCUUGAAAAAAUUAGAGUGUUUAAAGCAAGCUUACGCUUGAAUACAUUAGCAUGGAAUAAUGAAAUAGGACAUCAGAUUCUAUUUUGUUGGUUUCUAGGAUCGAUGUA